This 497-nucleotide ribosomal RNA is filed under the name uncultured bacterium. Its description in RNAcentral is "partial 16S ribosomal RNA". It matches the Rfam family "Bacterial small subunit ribosomal RNA", at positions 28 to 507 of the family's 1533-position model. The record is from RNAcentral.
GAUGAACGCUGGCGGCGUGCCUAAUACAUGCAAGUCGAGCGAACGGACGAGAAGCUUGCUUCUCUGAUGUUAGCGGCGGACGGGUGAGUAACACGUGGAUAACCUACCUAUAAGACUGGGAUAACUUCGGGAAACCGGAGCUAAUACCGGAUAAUAUUUUGAACCGCAUGGUUCAAAAGUGAAAGACGGUCUUGCUGUCACUUAUAGAUGGAUCCGCGCUGCAUUAGCUAGUUGGUAAGGUAACGGCUUACCAAGGCAACGAUGCAUAGCCGACCUGAUAGGGUGAUCGGCCACACUGGAACUGAGACACGGUCCAGACUCCUACGGGAGGCAGCAGUAGGGAAUCUUCCGCAAUUGGCGAAAGCCUGACGGAGCAACGCCGCGUGAGUGAUGAAGGUCUUCGGAUCGUAAAACUCUGUUAUUAGGGAAGAACAUAUGUGUAAGUAACUGUGCACAUCUUGACGGUACCUAAUCAGAAAGCCACGGCUAACUACGUG